AAACUUUCAACAACGGAUCUCUUGGUUCCGGCAUCGAUGAAAAACGCAGCGAAAUGCGAUAAGUAAUGUGAAUUGCAGAAUUCAGUGAAUCAUCGAAUCUUUGAACGCACAUUGCGCCCCCUGGUAUUCCGGGGGGCAUGCCUGUCCGAGCGUCAUU
RNAcentral lists this ribosomal RNA (157 nucleotides) under Monascus purpureus. RNAcentral's name for it is "5.8S ribosomal RNA". It matches the Rfam family "5.8S ribosomal RNA". Rfam says of the family: 5.8S ribosomal RNA (5.8S rRNA) is a component of the large subunit of the eukaryotic ribosome. It is transcribed by RNA polymerase I as part of the 45S precursor that also contains 18S and 28S rRNA. Functionally, it is thought that 5.8S rRNA may be involved in ribosome translocation. The record is from RNAcentral. Lineage: Eukaryota; Fungi; Ascomycota; Eurotiomycetes; Eurotiales; Aspergillaceae.